Molecule: ribosomal RNA, 730 nt
Filed under: Escherichia coli
Lineage: Bacteria; Pseudomonadati; Pseudomonadota; Gammaproteobacteria; Enterobacterales; Enterobacteriaceae
Description: partial 23S ribosomal RNA
Rfam family: Bacterial large subunit ribosomal RNA
Source: RNAcentral
GUACACAAAAAUGCACAUACUGUGAGCUCGAUGAGUAGGGCGGGACACGUGGUAUCCUGUCUGAAUAUGGGGGGACCAUCCUCCAAGGCUAAAUACUCCUGACUGACCGAUAGUGAACCAGUACCGUGAGGGAAAGGCGAAAAGAACCCCGGCGAGGGGAGUGAAAAAGAACCUGAAACCGUGUACGUACAAGCAGUGGGAGCCUCUUAAUGGGGUGACUGCGUACCUUUUGUAUAAUGGGUCAGCGACUUAUAUUCUGUAGCAAGGUUAACCGAAUAGGGGAGCCGAAGGGAAACCGAGUCUUAACUGGGCGUUAAGUUGCAGGGUAUAGACCCGAAACCCGGUGAUCUAGCCAUGGGCAGGUUGAAGGUUGGGUAACACUAACUGGAGGACCGAACCGACUAAUGUUGAAAAAUUAGCGGAUGACUUGUGGCUGGGGGUGAAAGGCCAAUCAAACCGGGAGAUAGCUGGUUCUCCCCGAAAGCUAUUUAGGUAGCGCCUCGUGAAUUCAUCUCCGGGGGUAGAGCACUGUUUCGGCAAGGGGGUCAUCCCGACUUACCAACCCGAUGCAAACUGCGAAUACCGGAGAAUGUUAUCACGGGAGACACACGGCGGGUGCUAACGUCCGUCGUGAAGAGGGAAACAACCCAGACCGCCAGCUAAGGUCCCAAAGUCAUGGUUAAGUGGGAAACGAUGUGGGAAGGCCCAGACAGCCAGGAUGUUGGCUUAG